GAUGAACGCUGGCGGCGUGCCUAAUACAUGCAAGUCGAACGCUGGAGAUCUAGCUUGCUAGAUCGAAGGAGCGGCGAACGGGUGAGUAAUACAUAAGCAACCUACCCACGAAGACUGGGAUAAUCUCUGGAAACGGGGACUAAUACCGGAUAGGUAAUCGGAAGGCAUCUUCUGGUUAUUAAAGGUUAAAAACACUGAUGGAUGGGCUUAUGGCGCAUUAGUUAGUUGGUGAGGUAACGGCCCACCAAGACGAUGAUGCGUAGCCGGCCUGAGAGGGUGAACGGCCACAUUGGGACUGAGACACGGCCCAGACUCCUACGGGAGGCAGCAGUAGGGAAUUUUCGGCAAUGGGGGCAACCCUGACCGAGCAACGCCGCGUGAGUGAAGACGGCCUUCGGGUUGUAAAGCUCUGUUGUAAGGGAAGAACGGUAGAUAGAGAAUAUCUAAGUGACGGUACCUUACCAGAAAGCCACGGCUAACUACGUG
This 486-nucleotide ribosomal RNA is filed under the name uncultured bacterium. Its description in RNAcentral is "partial 16S ribosomal RNA". It matches the Rfam family "Bacterial small subunit ribosomal RNA", at positions 28 to 507 of the family's 1533-position model. The record is from RNAcentral.